Molecule: ribosomal RNA, 461 nt
Filed under: uncultured bacterium
Lineage: Bacteria
Description: bacterial SSU rRNA
Rfam family: Bacterial small subunit ribosomal RNA
Source: RNAcentral
UCCUACGGGAGGCAGCAGUGGGGAAUCUUCCGCAAUGGGCGAAAGCCUGACGGAGCAACGCCGCGUGGGUGAAGAAGGCCUUCGGGCCGUAAAGCCCUGUUGCCGGGGAAGAGUGCCAUGAGGGGACUUGUGGAGGGACGGUACCCGGCGAGGAAGCCGCGGCCAACUACGUGCCAGCAGCCGCGGUAAUACGUAGGCGGCAAGCGUUGUCCGGAAUCAUUGGGCGUAAAGGGGGCGCAGGCGGGGACGCAGGUCCUUCCUCAAAGCGCGGGGCUCAGCCCCGUCACGGGAGGGAAACCGCGUCUCUUGAGCGCGGGAGAGGGAAGCGGAAUUCCUGGUGUAGCGGUGAAAUGCGUAGAUAUCAGGAAGAACACCAGUGGCGAAGGCGGCUUCCUGGACCGCGGCUGACGCUGAGGCCCGAAAGCCAGGGGAGCGAACAGGAUUAGAUACCCUGGUAGUCC